GGUCCGGUAGCUCAGCUGGAUAGAGCAACUGCCUUCUAAGCAGUAGGUCAAAGGUUCGAAUCCUUUCCGGAUCAC
RNAcentral lists this transfer RNA (75 nucleotides) under Schleiferia thermophila. RNAcentral's name for it is "tRNA-Arg". It matches the Rfam family "tRNA". From Rfam's summary of the family: Transfer RNA (tRNA) molecules are approximately 80 nucleotides in length. Their secondary structure includes four short double-helical elements and three loops (D, anti-codon, and T loops). Further hydrogen bonds mediate the characteristic L-shaped molecular structure. tRNAs have two regions of fundamental functional importance: the anti-codon, which is responsible for specific mRNA codon recognition, and the 3' end, to which the tRNAs corresponding amino acid is attached (by aminoacyl-tRNA synthetases). tRNAs cope with the degeneracy of the genetic code in two manners: having more than one tRNA (with a specific anti-codon) for a particular amino acid; and 'wobble' base-pairing, i.e. permitting non-standard base-pairing at the 3rd anti-codon position. The record is from RNAcentral. Lineage: Bacteria; Pseudomonadati; Bacteroidota; Flavobacteriia; Flavobacteriales; Schleiferiaceae. RNAcentral also lists the same sequence under 1 other name.